This 659-nucleotide ribosomal RNA is filed under the name Fusarium sp. Its description in RNAcentral is "SSU rRNA". It matches the Rfam family "Eukaryotic small subunit ribosomal RNA", at positions 87 to 752 of the family's 1831-position model. Lineage: Eukaryota; Fungi; Ascomycota; Sordariomycetes; Hypocreales; Nectriaceae. The record is from RNAcentral.
CUGCGAAUGGCUCAUUAUAUAAGUUAUCGUUUAUUUGAUAGUACCUUACUACUUGGAUAACCGUGGUAAUUCUAGAGCUAAUACAUGCUAAAAAUCCCGACUUCGGAAGGGAUGUAUUUAUUAGAUUAAAAACCAAUGCCCUUCGGGGCUCACUGGUGAUUCAUGAUAACUUCUCGAAUCGCAUGGCCUUGUGCCGGCGAUGGUUCAUUCAAAUUUCUUCCCUAUCAACUUUCGAUGUUUGGGUAUUGGCCAAACAUGGUUGCAACGGGUAACGGAGGGUUAGGGCUCGACCCCGGAGAAGGAGCCUGAGAAACGGCUACUACAUCCAAGGAAGGCAGCAGGCGCGCAAAUUACCCAAUCCCGACACGGGGAGGUAGUGACAAUAAAUACUGAUACAGGGCUCUUUUGGGUCUUGUAAUUGGAAUGAGUACAAUUUAAAUCCCUUAACGAGGAACAAUUGGAGGGCAAGUCUGGUGCCAGCAGCCGCGGUAAUUCCAGCUCCAAUAGCGUAUAUUAAAGUUGUUGUGGUUAAAAAGCUCGUAGUUGAACCUUGGGCCUGGCUGGCCGGUCCGCCUCACCGCGUGUACUGGUCCGGCCGGGCCUUUCCCUCUGUGGAACCCCAUGCCCUUCACUGGGUGUGGCGGGGAAACAGGACUUUU